RNAcentral lists this long non-coding RNA (765 nucleotides) under Trifolium pratense (red clover). Its description in RNAcentral is "long non-coding RNA (TPRA_LNC000295)". Lineage: Eukaryota; Viridiplantae; Streptophyta; Magnoliopsida; Fabales; Fabaceae. The record is from RNAcentral.
GCUACGACGGCUGCAAAAAGGCAUGGAGAAGAAGACAGAAACCUGUUUUUUUUUUUACGAAUAACCUAUUGUUAGUUCUGUUGUUGUUGUUGCUAUCCAAGAACACUUAGAUGAGAUGGCGUGGGUCUCUUCUAGCUUAACCAAGUCUUUGGUCUGACUUGGACAUGCACCAGCGUUAAAACUCUGCUUACUCUUGGAGAGAGUUUGUCAUUCAUUUUGGUCCCACGAGUGUUGUUGUUGCUGUUAGUUCAGAAUUAAUCUCACCCAUUGAAUUUUUAAUUGUCAUGUGUCAUUCAUCCAUAAAGAUACCGGGGUAAAAUGGAGAAUAAGAAAAUGGAGUGAUCUAAACUCCACCAUUAUUAAUAACACAGACACGGAGGUGAUGUGUUGAGUCAAAUCAAAUCUGAAGCGAAUAACACGAAACUAUAUUGGAUUCAGAGUUCAGACAAAGUGUUUGUUUCCAUCCUUCCUUCCGCGUAUCAAACGGGCAAUUUUCACAAGUCAGUCAAUUAUUUCAUACCAAAUGACUCCUUCAUAAAAUAGCCUAUAGCCAUUGACCAAUGACAUACAUAGUAGAAAUUAACAAGUUUCUUCUUCUUCUUUUAUUGAUUUUUUCGUCCAAAUAAUAUACAAUAUUCAUUCACAGGUUGGUUGGUUUGUUGGUUUUAUAUAUUAUAUAUACAUCAAUCAAUAUUGAAAUCAUAUAAUUGCUUACAAUUUUUCAGUUUCCCUGACAGCAACAUAAACAAAAGUAGAACAUANNNN